Molecule: long non-coding RNA, 931 nt
Filed under: Panax ginseng (ginseng)
Lineage: Eukaryota; Viridiplantae; Streptophyta; Magnoliopsida; Apiales; Araliaceae
Description: long non-coding RNA (PGIN_LNC006417)
Source: RNAcentral
AGUUAUUAUUUUUCAUCCCUUCCUUUCUCAAUAGCUUCGUUAUUUUUGACCCGACUUUAUCUUAUUCGAUCGAUCGAUUCAAUCGCGCUUCGUUCGCCGUCCAUCACAGGUACAUGCCCCUCUUCUCUCCACUCUUUUAUCUCCUCUAUCUCCUACAUCUAUUCUCUGAAAUUGAUUUUUCUGUUGUUCUCUUUCAGUUCGGUAAGACAUCUGAUCUCAGUUUAUUCAUUUAUAAUUUCUUUACUUUGUUCAUCCAUUUGUGCUUAAUCAAAUCUGAUUUUGGUGCUCAAUCAAAUCUGAUUUUGGUGCUCAAUGCGCACCACAUCUUUGAUGUAUUGACGCUAUGAAGAUUACAACAAACCCUGUUUAUAUUGUUGGGGGCUUUUCACUUGCAUUCAUGUAGAUAGCAGUUCUAUUUUACAUUGGUGUCAAGCAUUUUAUCUCCAUUAUAGCAAUAUUGCAAAUUGUUUCAUGGAUCGGUGUUAUUAGGCAUUACUAGCUGCUUUCUCUUAUUGUUCAAAAUCUUUCCAUUUUAUCAUCUCUUACCAGCAUUGAUGAAUUAUAAAGCCUUUCCUAUUCCAAAUUUUAAGCUGACUUCACAUUCUGGUUUUGAUGCUGAGCUGUGUACAUCUAAUACAAUUAGUAGGCUGGCAGUAUUGUAGGCAAUUGCUAUGGCGGUCUUGGUGCUGUUGGUUGUUUGUUUACAUGACAAGGUUGUGCUUGAAAGAAUCAAGAUUACGGAAUUUCUGUAAUGUUUUUCUUUCAUUAUUCUUAUUAUGUCGAACACUAGUUGGCAGGAGUAAAAUACAGUUUAGACUUUAGAAGAUGCUGUAAAACGAGUGUAUCUGUGUGCUGUUUUAGCUCAUCCAUGCAAUACAUUAUAUCACAAAUAAUAUAGUAUUAUAUCCAGUUACUUAUAUUUUUUUUUAAG